This 440-nucleotide ribosomal RNA is filed under the name uncultured bacterium. RNAcentral's name for it is "partial 16S ribosomal RNA". It matches the Rfam family "Bacterial small subunit ribosomal RNA", at positions 338 to 795 of the family's 1533-position model. The record is from RNAcentral.
CCUACGGGAGGCUGCAGUGGGGAAUAUUGCACAAUGGGGGAAACGCUGAUGCAGCGAAGCCGCGUGAGCGAUGACGUCUCUAGGUAUGUAAAGCUCUAUCUGCAGGGAAGAAGAUGACGGUACCUGACUAAGAAGCCCCGGCUAACUACGUGCCAGCAGCCGCGGUGAUACGUCGGGGGCAAGCGUGAUCCGGAUUUACUGGGUGUAAAGGGAGCGUAGACGGCGAUGCAGGCAAGAUGGGAAAGCCCGGGGCUCAACCCCGGGACUGCAUUUGGAACUGUGUGGCUGGAGUGUCGGAGAGGCAGGCGGAAUGCCUAGUGUAGCGGUGAAAUGCGUAGAUAUUAGGAGGAACACCAGUGGCGAAGGCGGCCUGCUGGACGAUGACUGACGUUGAGGCUCGAAAGCGUGGGGAGCAAACAGGAUUAGAUACCCGGGUAGUC